Long non-coding RNA from Lucilia cuprina (Australian sheep blowfly), 466 nucleotides. RefSeq lists it as uncharacterized. The transcript is spliced from 2 exons. Lineage: Eukaryota; Metazoa; Arthropoda; Insecta; Diptera; Calliphoridae. The record is from RefSeq and is a predicted model, not a curated record.
UCUCUGAACUCUUAAUUUUUUUUAUAUGAACUUUGAAAGCACUAGAACUGUCAAAUGUCAUAUAAGUGAGCAAAGCAAUUGUAAAUAUGACAACACCUUGUUAAAUGUAAUGGGAGUGGAACAAAAUUGUGGCAUUUAUAAAAAAUUCCUGACGCGCGACAGUUGGGUGGUGUUGUGUGUGUGCGUGCGUGUUGUUUUUGCAAUUUGAAUUAAAUAAAUUAAUAAAAUAAAAAUUCAAAAUAUAUACAAAAAAUUUAAGUAAAUUAUUUGUUACUAACAAAUAAAAACAAAGCAUUAGUUUAAGUGUCAAGUAUUUUUUAAACAAGAAAUAUAAAAAAUUAAAAAAAAAAAACAAAAAAAGACAAUUUUAUAUUGAAGUGCUUUUUUAAAUGCUGUACGUUUUUAUUUGUAUUGAAGACAUUUAAAAAAAGUUGGCAGAGCUACAAAUUUUAAAUCUUUUUAAAUC